GAGUGCCAUUGAGAAAGAAGCAGAGGAUGGAUUUGAGUGGAUAAAGUAAGGUGUGGAUGUGAAAUGAGCUUCCUUUUUUCUAUAAUGCCGGAUAUGUGUUGCAUGGUAACUCUUUGUUGUGUGAUGAAAGUUAAUAUCAUCAUUGUCAUAGAGUGAAAUAUAUUGAGGAUAUGGAGUUGUGAUCAUUACCAUUUGCUGUUAGUCCUGAACUUGAGCCUUAUUUUGAUACAUAAAUAAGUUAUCUUUGAAGUAACUUAGUUGCUCAUUGUGUUUGAUAGUUGAUCAUGAUUUUGUGCUAUUCCUAGUUGCAUUCCAUAUCUUGCUGCUUUCACUGUAAUGGCAGAAAAUAUGUUAAAAAUGAUCUCCAACAUCUGUCCCUGGUGUUUAUAUUUUGGCCUUCAGGCUGAAAAUAGAAAACUUUAUGCAAUUGAGGUAGACAAAAAUGCUUUCGGCUGUAAGAGACCACCUGGUUUGAAAUGAAAGAUCUAUAUCUUCAAACCAGCCCUCUUCUGAAUGCUUAUAUUAAUAUGAUCAAUGGGGCAUUGACAAACUAAAAAUUACACAAUUGAGGAAUAAAAUUAACAAAAAUGCCUAACAAGACCUUGUCAUGCGCAUUGAAGCUGUGGCAGCAUGUUUUUGAUAAGCCAUUCUGAUAAAUAUUUGUUUGCUUGAUGUGUAAAAUGUGCUACAUCCCAAAACACAUAUUCUGCAGGAUUCGAGCAAACUGGCACACCAGCUUGUCCACAACCUUGAGCACGGUCACGACUGUAAUUAUAUUUUCCUCCAAUCCCGCAACAAGCUUGUGUUAAUGAUUUAAAUCCAAGUUUUGAAAAAUUAUCCAGAAUCGAUUGUAAUGCAUUGUAAAUAUCGCCAUAUAUGAUAUGUAUGUUAGGGUAUUCCUUUCUCAAUCCCUCAAGAGCUACUUGGAGAUGGCUAUUGUGAUACAUAAAGAAGUCAUUGUAAUCCUUUAGACAACCAUGUGCAUCGUAAGCAGCAGAUGUGUUUGUUGAAAACAUUGUAAGCAAGCCUGGCGUGCAACCCAUUUGAAAGGUUCCGGUGACGACCACUUGAGUUGCGCCGAAACUGAUAAUUUUCUGUGAACAAUUAAGGUGAGAGUUAAGAACUGGAUAACGGUAAUUGAAAGUUGCACGCACACACGCACACAACACUAACUUUGACUGAAUCUAUUAUGGUUUGCACCACUCCAGGCACCAUGAUGUUCUUUAUCUCUUCAAGGGUUUUGUUUUGACCAAAUGCAAGAUUAUAA
This 1267-nucleotide unclassified non-coding RNA is filed under the name Hevea brasiliensis (rubber tree). Lineage: Eukaryota; Viridiplantae; Streptophyta; Magnoliopsida; Malpighiales; Euphorbiaceae. The record is from RNAcentral.